Molecule: ribosomal RNA, 826 nt
Filed under: Pyrenopolyporus cinereopigmentosus
Lineage: Eukaryota; Fungi; Ascomycota; Sordariomycetes; Xylariales; Hypoxylaceae
Description: partial large subunit ribosomal RNA
Rfam family: Eukaryotic large subunit ribosomal RNA
Source: RNAcentral
AGAAACCAACAGGGAUUGCCCUAGUAACGGCGAGUGAAGCGGCAACAGCUCAAAUUUGAAAUCUGGCCCUCGCGGUCCGAGUUGUAAUUUGUAGAGGAUGCUUUGGGCGCGGCGCCUUCCAAGUUCCCUAGAACGGGACGCCUUAGAGGGUGAGAGCCCCGUACGGUUGGACGCCUAGCCUAUGUAUAGCUCCUUCGACGAGUCGAGUAGUUUGGGAAUGCUGCUCUAAAUGGGAGGUAAAUUUCUUCUAAAGCUAAAUACCGGCCAGAGACCGAUAGCGCACAAGUAGAGUGAUCGAAAGAUGAAAAGUACUUUGAAAAGAGGGUUAAAUAGCACGUGAAAUUGUUGAAAGGGAAGCGUUUGCGACCAGACCUUUUCCAGGCGGAUCAUCCGGCGUUCUCGCCGGUGCACUUCGCCUGGUUUAGGCCAGCAUCGGUUUUCCCAGGGGGAUAAAGGCGGCGGGAACGUAGCUCUCUCGGGAGUGUUAUAGCCCGCCGCGUAAUACCCUUGGGGGGACCGAGGACCGCGCUUCGGCAAGGAUGCUGGCGUAAUGGUCGUCAACGACCCGUCUUGAAACACGGACCAAGGAGUCGAACAUUUGUGCGAGUGUUUGGGUGUCAAACCCUCACGCGUAAUGAAAGUGAACGGAGGUGAGAGCCCCUCGCGGGUGCAUCAUCGACCGAUCCUGAUGUCUUCGGAUGGAUUUGAGUAAGAGCAUAACUGUUCGGACCCGAAAGAUGGUGAACUAUGCGUGGAUAGGGUGAAGCCAGAGGAAACUCUGGUGGAGGCUCGCAGCGGUUCUGACGUGCAAAUCGAUCGUCAAAUC